Sorghum bicolor (sorghum) is the source of this 508-nucleotide long non-coding RNA. RefSeq lists it as uncharacterized. The record is from RefSeq and is a predicted model, not a curated record. Lineage: Eukaryota; Viridiplantae; Streptophyta; Magnoliopsida; Poales; Poaceae. The transcript has 2 exons.
GCCCGUGCGGCGGCGUCGCUUUUGCGGCGUCGCUUUUCUCGUUCCAAACGCUGCCGCCGCCCGCCGGCUACGAUGUGCUGUGCUUCGAUCUGAGAUUUUGGUAACACGGUUCAUUGAUAUAGUCCAGCACGUAGAUCGGGAGAUGGUUGAUUCCAUCAUCUUAUUAUCUCACUUCCGCUUCAUCAAAUCCUUUACUCCAGUGAUGGCGUUCCUGUCAUCUGGCGACAUGGCACUUGACUUACCUCUUUCAUCCACGGGUGAAUGUGGCCAAUCUGAUCUGUAUUAAUUUAUCCAUCAUCUGAUCAGCGGUCUACACAUUAUUUUAUUUGUGUGCUCUCAUACUUUGUUUAAGGUGAUUUGAGUCGAUCUAGCUAGUACAUGCAUGUUUAAGGUGAUUUGUCUUUUUCAUUUGAAUGAUUUGAACAUGCUUCAUCAAAUCCUUUACCAUACCAGGAUCUAUAUAUAAUUUCUCUCAUAUGGUUUAGAAUAAUACAGUCAUCUUUUUCUA